GCAGAUGGGCGGUCUCGUCCGCAAAGAGGGAGUGAUUCAUAGAGUGUUAGGGGAGACAGUUUUCCUUUUGAAAGCCCACUGAGAAGCCGAACUCUUCUCCCAGGCUUGCAGACUGAGGAAAGUAGGCAGGGCCCGGGCCUGACCCAGUCUCUGGAGGCUCAUUAGGCCUCCUCCGAGCCCUGGGCCUGGUCGGGUAAGGCCUCCAGGCGCCGGUUGCUGGGGGAGCGGUGACGUCGCGGGGUGAAAGUUGAGGGGCGGUGACGUAAGGCCUGACCGGGCGGAGGCUGGCGGGUUGGAGACUGGAGGGAGGGAGGGAGGGAGGGAAGGAAGGAAGCUGAGAAGGAGCGAGGUAGCGGGGGCGCGAGGCGUUUACCUGGGAGGCAGCGGCUGGGGCGCGCGCAGCGGCCGCGGCUCCCCCGCACCUGCGGCCAUGGAUGAAGAGCGCGCCCUAUACAUCGUCCGGGCCGGCGAGGCGGGGGCUAUCGAGCGGGUCCUGCGGGAUUACAGCGACAAGCAUAGGGCUACUUUCAAAUUUGAAUCAACAGAUGAAGAUAAAAGAAAGAAACUCUGUGAAGGCAUAUUUAAAGUCCUUGUAAAGGACGUCCCAACAACAUGUCAAGUGUCCUGCCUGGAAGUACUCCGCAUUCUAUCCAGAGACAAAAAGAUUUUAGUUCCUGUAACAACUAAAGAAAAUAUGCAAAUACUGCUGAGACUAGCCAAACUCCACGAGUCGGAUGAUUCUUUGGAGAAGGUGUCAGAGUUCCCAGUUAUUGUGGAAUCAUUGAAAUGUCUGUGUAACAUCGUGUUCAACAGUCAGAUGGCACAGCAGCUCAGCCUGGAACUGAACCUAGCUGCAAAGCUCUGUAACCUCCUGAGAAAAUGCAAGGACCGAAAAUUUAUCAAUGACAUAAAGUGCUUUGACUUGCGCUUGCUCUUCCUCUUGUCACUUUUGCACACUGACAUCAGGUCACAAUUGCGCUAUGAGCUCCAGGGACUACCGCUGCUAACCCAGAUCUUGGAAAGUGCCUUUAGCAUCAAGUGGACCGAUGAGUAUGAAUCGGCCAUAGACCAUAAUGGACCUCCUCUCUCACCUCAGGAGACAGACUGUGCCAUUGAAGCCCUCAAAGCUUUGUUCAAUGUGACGGUCGACAGCUGGAAGGUGCAUAAAGAGAGUGAUUCUCAUCAGUUCCGUGUCAUGGCAGCUGUCCUUCGCCAUUGUUUACUAAUCGUAGGUCCAACUGAAGACAAAACAGAAGAACUGCACAGUAAUGCUGUCAACCUUUUAAGCAAUGUUCCAGUCUCUUGUUUGGAUGUUCUCAUUUGUCCAUUAACCCAUGAAGAAACAGCCCAAGAGGCAGCGACUCUAGAUGAACUGCCCAGUGAUAAAACAACCGAGAAAGACACAGCUUUGAAAAACAAUACCAUGGUAUACAAUGGCAUGAAUAUGGAGGCCAUUCAUGUUUUACUCAGUUUUAUGGAGAAGAGAAUUGACAAGGGAAGCAGCUAUAGAGAGGGUCUAACUCCAGUUCUCAGCUUAUUAACAGAAUGUUCCCGAGCUCAUCGGAACAUCCGAAAAUUUCUCAAAGAUCAGGUUUUACCACCAUUGAGGGAUGUGACAAAUCGACCUGAAGUUGGCUCAACUGUGAGAAACAAGCUGGUGCGCCUCAUGACACAUGUUGACCUUGGCGUCAAGCAAAUUGCUGCCGAGUUCCUUUUUGUCCUUUGCAAAGAGAGAGUGGACAGUCUGCUGAAAUACACUGGCUAUGGGAACGCUGCAGGACUGUUGGCGGCCAGGGGCCUCUUGGCUGGAGGAAGAGGAGAUAAUUGGUACUCAGAGGACGAGGACACCGACACUGAAGAAUACAAAAAUGCAAAACCAAACAUUAAUCUUAUCACUGGUCAUUUAGAGGAACCAAUGCCAAACCCUAUAGAUGAAAUGACAGAAGAACAAAAAGAAUAUGAAGCCAUGAAACUUGUCAACAUGCUUGAUAAACUUUCCAGGAGAGCAGAUGUGAAGGACCUGCACCAGGAUGGUGGUUAGCAACAGUGUCCCGUGCCAAAGCUCUUACCAAAGUGAUGACUAAGACUUUGAAAGCAAAAAUAAGCCCCUGCACUCAUGCAUGGGCCUGGAAUGGUGAGUGUGUAUGGGUGAGUCCAGUGUGCUUAGCACAGCUGCCAUUACCUAGCAGUAGCACACUCACACUCUGAUUAUGCCUUCAGCCAUUGCUGGCCAAGGGUAGGAACGUUUUAAUUACAGUUUUGUUUCUACUCCUCUGAUCCCCUUUGUUUCUUUAACUGAAACCAGAUGAGUAAAUCUCAUGCUCCAUUCUCACUCCCAGCACUGUUCAAUAAGGCUCAUUGCCCAUUUGCUUGUGUUUUAAACUGUAUGUAAAUAAAUAAGCAAUGCCUAUCCUGCCACCACUUUUCUUUUUCUCAUCCACUCACUCACUGGCCACUAACUGUGCUUCCCACCCCACUUCUAUGUUGCCAGCCACAUUAAUAUAUGGGACAUGGCUUUCUUAGUGUUGGCAUCAAAUAUAAGGAUAAUACACAUGAAUCAAGGUUUUUAACUCAGUAAGGUUGUGAGUGAUUUACUACUGGAAAAUAAGAUACAUAACUUUUUUCUACAUAAAUAAAUCCUAUUGCUCAUCUUACAGAAAUACAAAAACCUGUAAUUAAUUGCAUAUGCCUUUAUCUAGUCUAGGAUAUAUUUUUAGGGUGCAUUUCAGAAACACUCCACCUUUUUAAAGCACCAGAGUUCAAAGGUCGUCAUCGUUCCGGUCAGGAGAUCCUUUGGAUCUGUACUGUUUGCUGUGGGGACUGCUAGUCUGUGACUACUGAACAUUUGCAAUGUGGUUAAUCCAAAUUAGCAUGUCCUCUAAAUAGAGGAAGAGAGUGGAAAGUGUCAGUCUUUAAUUAUUUAGUAGAUUAUGUGUUUAAACUGACCAAGUUUUGUACUGGAUUAAAUUGAAAUCAACUUUACCUCAAUUUACUUUUCUGCCUGGCUAGUUGGACAUUGACUAUCAAUAUUCAGCUUAUAUGGUGGCUUGCCUCAUAUUUCUCAUACACCAGCACCAGUAUAUUUCUGAUACUCCAUCAUUAAGGUUCCAUAAAAAUUCAAUUAAGGGAGCUUGGUGCUUUAUACACUGAUAAACCCUCACAGGAGCAAGAGAGGGUUGUUGUGAGAAGCUUGAUUCUGUGCAUCUUAGUUUAGAGGGCUGUCUCAGUGGCUCGACACCUAGGUUGUCCUGUGCCCUUUGCAUUCACUAUUGGGAGUCAUUGAGUGCUUGGUUAAAGCUCAAGCUGAAAUGGCUCUUGACAAUUAGCAAAAAACAUGAAACAAAAAUAUUCUCCUUCCUAGUUGCUUUCCUCUUUUAACUUUUAGAUCUUCCCAAUUAGAAGAGGUGUUAGGACUUUCUGUUUGUACUGCUGUAUUUAACAUAACAGACCUUUUAUUUCAUGAUGUUAAUUUGGAUAACAGGGUAAAGGAGUUUUCUAAGAAUGCUGCCAUUACUUAAGGCUAGAACUAAAUUGUGUUCUUUCUGCACUAUCCCUAACUUCAUUCUCUAAUGUGUUCCUAACUUUGCUGUCUAACACAUAGCAGCUCUUUUUAGAAGCUUUGCAUGCUGUCUUCUAACAUAAAUGAAAAUAAUAAAAAGCUAACUUAGUGCUUCAAACUAUAAAAAUGCUUCCAUAUGUGUUCCCUGUUGAUCAUUAAGACAAUCUUGUGAUCUAAAUAGGACGGGAGGUAUCAGAGGUUAAGUGACUGACACAGGAGCAAGCAAUGCAUCUACUUCAAAACUUUCAAAUACUGCCCUGUUUUGAAAAAUUACUAACAAUUCCGAGAAGUUUGUCACUCUGAUUAUUUUUAAAUGAAACGUAAGUUUUAAAUAAGUACAAACCACCAAAGACCAACAGUGAGCAUGUUUAUGUUGACAGACUGCAGAUUAGAGUGGAAAUAUAUCAUGCACCCCUGUUUUCUACUCCAUAUCCAGUAUCAUUAGGUAAAUAACUAGCUUUCUGAGGGAAACAAUAGAAGUUCUACCAUCCUUUGUUAAAACUGGGUUUUCUCAUUGUUUUUAAAAAAGAAUGAAUAUGGUAACCUAACAGAUUCUUAAAACAUCAUCACACUACUAAAUCUUAGCUUUAAAAUAACUUCAUAUGGGAAAUUGUAGACAAUUGCCAAUCAUGUUACAAAGAAAAAAGGGUGUGGUGAUAUGAGCAGUUCACCAUGACCAUUUAUCUUGGAACUGACAUAUUUACAUAGCAUGCUUUACUUUUCCAGUGGUGCCCCAGCUUAGAACACAAUGGUAAGGCUGAGUAGAAGGUCUCAGAAAUUUAUUAAGAUGCAAUUGGAAGACCUUUUAUUUACUGUGGAAAAGCCAUUAUUACCAUUUUUUUCCUCCUCAGUCAGUGUCCUGGUGAAAGAUCAGUAUAACCAGUCUACUAGGAAGCCGUUAGAUAAAAGGUGAAGAAGCAAUGUCACACCUAAAGGCCACUGCACUCACAGCAUCCCAUGUAGUUAUGUAACUCCUGCUCUAAGAAGGGCUAUUACCAGCCGUGAGAACCCAGUGCACUUUAGAGACUUGUGACUACUUCAGCUACUCGCUCCUGGCUUGGAGUUCAGCAGGCACUGCAGAGCUGCACGCUCGGAGCUAUCAGGAGAUCCAUCCCCAUCGGCAUUUUAUGUUAAUUAAAAUACUUCAUUUAUAUACUAAUGUCUCAUGCCAUCUUUCAAAGGCUAAAAGGAAUUAAAUAUGAAAUGGCUAAUUUAACAUGUCAGGGCUCUUUUUCCAGGCCAACCUCACGUUAAGACCAGGAAUCCCUGUGCCAAAGUAAUGGUUUCCCAAUUAUCCUGUCUUGGGUUUUGUUGUACAUUGAACAGAAGGCAACAAAACAAGUAUGUAACAGAACCUGGCUAAAUAGCAGCGCCCUCAUUAAAAUAGAGAGCCAGGGUGACUAAAGGGAGCAAUGCUUCAUAGGUCCCCCUUUCUUCUUCUCUAAUCAUAGAACAAAAUCUGUUACACAAAAGGCUCAGAACUAUUAUGCAGUACUCAAUUAGAGGGAGGUGAAUAGGUCUCUAACAUGCUGUUUUAUCAAAAGAGCAGACUGGUGUUUGCAUGAUUGUUGUUUCAUUACAGACCCUGUCAUUAAUUCCAUGUGUCAAUACUGCCCUGUAGUACACAGAGCAGACAAGAAAGAAGAGCCCUUGAAAACAAGGGAAUGAUUUUUGAGUCGUUAUCAAGCUAAGUGGCAAGCGGGAAGCUGAAACUCGUAUAGUUGAACAUUCUUGGAGGCUUAUCUCUUCCCUGGCCAGAUGCCUGAUCAGAUGAGAAGCCCGCCAUGAUACUGUCACAGUGCCUAGAAUGGGCUCUUUAUCCAGUAGACAUCACUGUACUUUUUGGUGAUAACGGGGGCAGUCUUAACUGUGUUAAGGCCUGUAUAUAGCAUUGAAGAGAGGAGCUGCUUAAACCAAUGGGACUAAAACCUGAUGGGACAAUAACGCCUUUGGAGGAAGCACUCAGCCAGUAUUCUGUCAUCGAAGAGACCAGCUCCGACACAGACUGAAAGCAUCGUCACCUGCUCACUCUCAUCUGGCUUUUAUCAGCAUCUUUUCUCUGUAGCUCCAGGGGAAUCUUCUCUAAAACAUUUAUGCCCUCACUGUGGCUAGAAACACAUUAACUGGUUUACUCAUUGGGAAUCCAGCGUCUUUAAGAAGUGAUCCUGUGUUUUCUGCAACAUCUAGGCAUUCAUACAGAGCUGUGGUAGGCAGAGUUGCAAGGCUAGAAGCAGAAGCAGCCAUCCCGUUUCAUCUGGAUGGAGUACGGAACCUCACUGCAAAGCAGCCUGCUCAAUCUUGUUGCUGGAAUUCCCAGCUAAAGGUUCAGCUGCGUCCUUCCACCUGCCAGUGAAAGCCGCCCCUGCUGAGUCUCCAGCAACCCAAGGCACACGAGAGCCCGAGGAGCUGGUACAUAAGGGCUGAGGCGAGUGACUCCUUAGAUCAGCACUGACCGAAUGAAAGCCAGGCAGCUGCUCUGUAAACCUAGUCCCACACUUUAUUUCAGUUUUUAUAAAUGUGGAAACACACACACAACACACACAGCCCCAGACUUACAAACCUAUUACACUCUAAAAGUUUGUAUGUCACUUAGCUAAAACUUCAAAUUAAAUCUCUCCCUAUGAGGAGUUAGAAAUGAUGGUUUAGUUCCCGGCAGCUACACGUGCCUAUUUAUUCCUCUUGUUCCUAAACACUACUAGUACCGUAGGGCUGGACCACCGUCUGCAUCGCUGCAUCCAGGGCGCGCAUUCUGAGGUAGCGCUCAGGGUGCCAAGCACACACUCAUCCUCCAGGCAGCAGAGAGGGUGGGGCUCCCCGGGUAGUGGGAGUUCUCUCGUGGCCUGUGCUGGGGGGUAGGGAGCCCACAGCACCCAUUUGUACAUAAAGCUCAUUCGUAUGUCACAUGUUUUAAACAGGGGUCUCUGUGUAUUUGUGUGUGUGUUCUACCUUUCUACCAUAUGUGAUCAGUUUAAUGGUAACUUUAUUUAUUUAAAAAAAAAAGAAGAAACACAAAUAGUUACUAUUAAACUGAUUAAGGCUGUUUAUUUUUACUCUUAGAAAUGGUCAUAUGAAGUAGACGUGCAAUCAUGUAGGCAGCAGGCCAAGUUGAUCAGUGGCUAAAGUUGAAAGGGGGUUGGUUUCCUUUCAUAUAUGUAUGUAUGUGUAGAUACACGUACAUAGAUAUAUGCACACAUAGAUUAUGUGCUUAACCACUGCCUUUUAAAACUUUAAAUAAAAUGUUGGGGAUGAUUCAAUUUA
Molecule: RNA transcript, 6817 nt
Organism: Meriones unguiculatus (Mongolian gerbil)
Lineage: Eukaryota; Metazoa; Chordata; Mammalia; Rodentia; Muridae
Gene: Ric8b
Gene name: RIC8 guanine nucleotide exchange factor B
Exons: 13
Source: RefSeq, a predicted model, not a curated record